CCACGGAACUGUGGUCUCCUGUGUCUGUGUCCCUCCUUCGAUGACGAGCUCCUGCCCUGAGAUUACACCUUAGGCUUCCCUCUCCUUGGGCCCCCCAGGGAUGGCCCACACUGGCUCUCAGUACCGCCAGAGGGAGGAGGGUUGGGUCACCUUGGGAGAGGUCCCUAUAGGGCCUUCUAUGCUCUCCUCCCUCCCUUCCCCUGCCCGUGUGUCGCUGUGGUACAGACAUUCACUAGAUGAACAUACGGAUACAUCAAAAGGAUAGAAAAAAAUGUUCAGAUAAUUAUGUACAGAACAUGAUUAUUAAAAAUCAGUGAUAAAAGAUCUGUUCAAAAAAACCAAAGCGGCUAGUGGUGAAGCCUCAGCAAGGGGAGCAACAGUAAACAGCCGCAUUUCCUUAGGUGAGGCGAGAAGGCUUCAAGCACCAAGCACAAAGGGCUUGCAGCUUCCCGAGAUACCUGGCAGGUCCUGGAAGAGAAGACGACCCCCGUCAGCAGGAGGGCACGCUCCCAACGCCCGGUCCACGGGCCAGACGCGGCCGCACAGCCAACCAAGCCUGCGCUACGUGCUCCGAGUGUGGAGGGGCCCGCGGAGUGACCCAGGCCACUCAGGCCACGUGCACGCUCGAAACACACGCAGAGGCAACACCAGGUACCUGGAUCUGAUCGGUGAAAGAUUUGCAAGGUACUUCUCUGCAGAUGCACCAAUUACGUACGUCGAUGAAGAGCUUCUCCUUCGUCUCCAGUCGGAUGGCUUCCAAGUCUUCAGCUCCACAGAGCUCUGUACCUGAUGCACUUUCAGUGGCCACAGUCUGGGGAGCUGAUUCUAAGGAACAACAAAGAGUUAUAUUAAUCUUGGAGUUAGUUUCAUACACCGUGGACAGACGGGCAAACCUGAGGUUAAGGCGAUUCCAAGAGGAAGGACAAAACCCUCGGGUCUGAAAGCCUCCAGCCCCUGUGACAGGAGCUGCAAGAAUCCCAGGUUAGGACAAGAUUAUGUCUGAAAGGAAAGGGAGACAGCUGCCCCCUUUCUGGAGCCUGGAGAUGGAAGCACCAGCCAGGAAUCCGUGAAGAAUACGCAGGAACCUUGGAAAAGGCAUGAUUGAUGGGCCAGGAGAUGAAGAAAGAAAGGCCGUGGUGCCAAAGGCCAAGUUUCACAGCCCCUCCUGCUGCACGAGCGUCAGGGAGACCUGUGAAGUCACCGCAGGGUUGCCUGUGGAACGUGGAGUCCAGACGGGGCUUGUCUUCCUCCCCCAGGCCCCUCCUGUCCUGCCCUCUGCUUCCUCUCCGGUCUCCAUGAUUAGAGAUGAAUGGCCCCGCUCUGCUCAUGACACGCUGGUCCGCUGUCUGCCCUGAGGACUGGCCGUGCCCAGUUUGACUCGAGAGCCACAUUGGGGCACCCGUUUAGAAUGAAACAAGGGGGACUUCCCUGGUGGCACAGCGGUUAAGAAUCCACCUGCCAGUGCAGGGGACACGGGUUCAAUCCUUGGUCCGGGAAGAUCCCACAUGUCGCAGAGCAGCUAAGCCCGUGCGCCACAACUACUGACCCUGCUCUCUAGAGCCCGCGAGCCGCAGCUACUGAACCCGCGUGCCACAAGUACUGAAGCCCGUGCGCCUAGAGCCCGUGCUCUGCAACAAGAGAAGCCACCGCAAUGAGAAGCCCGCGCACCGCGAUGAAGAGUAGCCCUUGCUCGCCACAACUGGAGAAAGCCCGCACGCAGCAACAAAGACCCAAAGCAGCCAAAAAUAAAUAAAUAAAAUAAAAUAGGCAAAGUAGAUAAACAGACGUUAAAAAAAAAGAAUGAUAUGAGGAAGUGGGCAGGGGCUUCCGGGGCUGCUGUGGACGAUCCCAGGCCCACCUCCCAGGCCCGGUUUGUCGUGGUCUCUUCCACUUGGCUGUGCCCGUGGCUUCGCAGCUUCUAAUUACGACAGCAGUCUGCUUCCCCUCCAACCAGCCCUUCCCCCGGACCCCUGUGUCCUGCUCGUGGCACCGUGGCGUCCAGCUUCCCAGCCAGCAGAAGCUUUAGUCCAGGCAGCUGCCAAGUCCCUUUGUUUCCUAAAACCUACCUGCUUAGGCUUUGCGUGCCGGGAAAAGGCGAGGCAGGGAAGAGACUACAGUUGUUGGGCGUGUUCCUUACGUUGCCUCAUGCGAUCCGUGGCAGAGACUGUUCCCACUUCGCAGGGGCUAGAACGGGCUCCGGGAGGUUUUGUGGCUUGCUUGAUGUGGCUCAGCUGGUUACGGGGCUGGACUUGGGUCUGACCUCAGGGUGUCUGUCUAGAAAAUUUGCUGCCUCGCCUGUUCACAGAGUGUUUUAGUGAAACGCGUGUGUCAUCCUCUGUACCGUUUUGGUGACCACUGGAAGGAAGCUAAGGCUCCUCUAGACAGAGUGUCGUCAGAUAGAGGUGGGACACGUGUGUCUCCGUGACAGUAUGCGCUCACAUCACGUUUUCCCUGUAUCACUGAACAUCUUCUUCCCCUACUGGUUACCCAAGCCGGCAGCCUGGGCAUCAUUCCUGAAGAUUCUUCUUUGCCCAAUCUUUCAAACCAAUCACCAAGUCCUGACUAUCCUACCACUUACGGAAGAACAACGCUUUGUCAUGUAUUUAGAUCAGAAUUGGCCGAAGGCAUGUUUUAAUUUCAAGCAAUUUGCAGGGAGAAAACUAAACUAAGCAGUCAGGUGCUUUCUGUCUAAUAUAAUACAUUGAGUGGUAGAUUAAUAAGUAUCAAUAUGAUUACUGAGAUCACUUACAACUUAAGCAAGUAAAUUCACUUUUCCAUAACAAACACACUUGUGACUUAAAAAAUUUCUUAAAAGAAUGCAUUUUCCUCUGAGGUCAUCACAAGACUUUAAUGGUUAUUCUGAGAAAAUAAAUAAGAGCUUUGUAAAUAGUUGUGGAUCUUGGCAAAACCCUUUCUCUUUCUUACUGAAAAUCUUAACCAUAGAGAGGAACUGGCAUCAUGAUUCAAGAUGCAGAACAUGUACAUUUUAAUCCUAUUUCAGACCUUUGCCCCACAUGGGUUAUUUUUUAAUUAUACUCGUGUUGUCACUAGAAUGUAAAUAUGGAAUAUUCUGUAAACUUUUCUUCCUUAUUUUGUGGAGAAGGGCAAUAAAUAACACAGCACUUAAUUUCUUAAAAAAAAAAAAAAAAAAAUCGGGAUGGGGAGCUAUUCAAGCCUCCGAGCCCUGACUCGGUCCCCAGGCAGCCUUCCCUGGUUCCUGACUCCAUGAUGAGAGAGGAUGAGCCCAGGAAACGCAGCAGAGCUGCUCGUACCGUUUAUCUCCUAAUUUCCUGCAUCCUUCACUAGGCCUCGUGACUUGUAAGGAAAGACUGUGUGCCACGCAAGAAAGGUAAAUGGAAAAGUGAUUUUUUUUAAACAGAUGGCUUUUAUAUUUAAAUUUGCUUUUCUUGGGGUUGAGUAACUUGCGUGGAAGAGGGACCUCCUUGUUCUGACAGCCCAGCUCCCCUCUUGGGACUCAGGACACCCAGAGGGUUUAGCUCAGUAGGGAGGGGAC
Balaenoptera ricei (Rice's whale) is the source of this 3514-nucleotide long non-coding RNA. RefSeq lists it as uncharacterized. The transcript is spliced from 3 exons. Lineage: Eukaryota; Metazoa; Chordata; Mammalia; Artiodactyla; Balaenopteridae. The record is from RefSeq and is a predicted model, not a curated record.